GGGCGAUUGGCUCAGCGGUAGAGCGCUUCGUUCACACCGAAGAGGUCACUGGUUCGAUCCCAGUAUCGCCCAC
This 73-nucleotide transfer RNA is filed under the name Klenkia terrae. Its description in RNAcentral is "partial tRNA-Valine (CAC)". It matches the Rfam family "tRNA". Rfam says of the family: Transfer RNA (tRNA) molecules are approximately 80 nucleotides in length. Their secondary structure includes four short double-helical elements and three loops (D, anti-codon, and T loops). Lineage: Bacteria; Bacillati; Actinomycetota; Actinomycetes; Geodermatophilales; Geodermatophilaceae. RNAcentral also lists the same sequence under 1 other name. The record is from RNAcentral.